This 388-nucleotide ribosomal RNA is filed under the name uncultured bacterium. RNAcentral's name for it is "bacterial SSU rRNA". It matches the Rfam family "Bacterial small subunit ribosomal RNA", at positions 29 to 408 of the family's 1533-position model. The record is from RNAcentral.
AACGAACGCUGGCGACGCGCCUAAUACAUGCAAGUCGAGCGAGAAGACGUAGCAAUACGUUUGUAAAGCGGCGAACGGGUGAGGAAUACAUGGGUAACCUACCCUCGAGUGGGGAAUAACUAGCCGAAAGGUUAGCUAAUACCGCGUACGCUCCUUGGACUUCGGUUCAGGGAGGAAAGCGAUACCGUGGGUAUCGCGCUCUUGGAUGGGCUCAUGUCCUAUCAGCUUGUUGGUGAGGAACGGCUCACCAAGGCUUCGACGGGUAGCUGGUCUGAGAGGACGAUCAGCCACACUGGCACUGCGACACGGGCCAGACUCCUACGGGAGGCAGCAGUAAGGAAUAUUGCGCAAUGGGCGAAAGCCUGACGCAGCGACGCCGCGUGGGGGA